UACGUAGGGUGCAAGCGUUGUCCGGAAUUAUUGGGCGUAAAGAGCUCGUAGGCGGUCUGUUGCGUCGGCUGUGAAAACCCGGGGCUCAACCCCGGGCCUGCAGCCGAUACGGGCAGACUAGAGUUCGGCAGGGGAGACUGGAAUUCCUGGUGUAGCGGUGAAAUGCGCAGAUAUCAGGAGGAACACCGGUGGCGAAGGCAGCUCGCUGGGACGGUACUGACGCUGAGACGCGAAAGCGUGGGGAGCAAACAGG
RNAcentral lists this ribosomal RNA (253 nucleotides) under uncultured bacterium. Its description in RNAcentral is "partial 16S ribosomal RNA". It matches the Rfam family "Bacterial small subunit ribosomal RNA", at positions 524 to 776 of the family's 1533-position model. The record is from RNAcentral.